RNAcentral lists this ribosomal RNA (483 nucleotides) under uncultured bacterium. Its description in RNAcentral is "partial 16S ribosomal RNA". It matches the Rfam family "Bacterial small subunit ribosomal RNA", at positions 28 to 523 of the family's 1533-position model. The record is from RNAcentral.
GACGAACGCUGGCGGCGUGCUUAACACAUGCAAGUCGAACGGUGAAAGCGGAGCUUGCUCCGCUGGAUCAGUGGCGAACGGGUGAGUAACACGUGGGCAACCUGCCCCUGACUUCGGGAUAACUCCUCGAAAGAGGUGCUAAUACCGAAUACGAAUCCUGCAGGCAUCUGCGGGAUUGGAAAGUUUUUCGGUCAGGGAUGGGCCCGCGGCCUAUCAGCUUGUUGGUGGGGUAGUGGCUCACCAAGGCGACGACGGGUAGCCGGCCUGGGAGGGCGACCGGCCACACUGGGACUGAGACACGGCCCAGACUCCUACGGGAGGCAGCAGUGGGGAAUAGUGCGCAAUGGGCGAAAGCCUGACGCAGCAACGCCGCGUGAGGGAUGACGGCCUUCGGGUUGUAAACCUCUUUCAGCAGGGAAGAAGCGAAGGUGACGGUACCUGCAGAAGAAGCACCGGCUAACUACGUGCCAGCCGCCGCCGUAA